GAAGUAGGCAAACUGAUACAUGAAUCCUAAAUACAGGUUGAGGCUUGCUAUCAGCAGGAACAUGGAGCACUCUAUGCUAGUGAGUCUGCUGGGCUAUCGAACUCUAGAGCAGCACAUCAAAACACCUGCCAUCCUGUUGUCAGCUAUCCGCAGACUUUCAAUGCCCACAUUUUGUGGAUGACCAAAUGCAAUAAAGUUUUGUAUAACAACUAA
This is a long non-coding RNA of Oncorhynchus gorbuscha (pink salmon), 213 nucleotides long. RefSeq lists it as uncharacterized. NCBI's taxonomy places the organism in Eukaryota, Metazoa, Chordata, Actinopteri, Salmoniformes, Salmonidae. The record is from RefSeq and is a predicted model, not a curated record. The transcript is spliced from 3 exons.